This 1005-nucleotide long non-coding RNA is filed under the name Homo sapiens (human). RNAcentral's name for it is "long non-coding RNA NONHSAT089500.2". The record is from RNAcentral. Lineage: Eukaryota; Metazoa; Chordata; Mammalia; Primates; Hominidae.
AUGACACCCAAGCUUGCACCACAGCCCAGGUCCUGCUGAAUGGAGUAGAACUUGAUGCCUGUGCUGCGGUCCCAGAUGCUGAUGAGGUCAUCCAGGCCACUGCUGAUGACACAGGAGGUGGUACAGGCCGCUUACCUGGUCAAUGUACACGGUCGUGAUGGCCCCUGAGUGGCCCUGAAGGGUGAAGAGGCAGCACGAGUCCUCCAGACGGAACACUCUCAGUGUGUGGUCUUGGCUCCCAGUCACCAAGCGCCCAGCAGCGGCUUUCAGGGCUGUGAUGGGUUUUUGGUGUGCACAGGGCACUGUGUGGGUCAGGUGACAGGCCACUGUGUCGCUGCUGCUGUACACUGGAGAGGCAGGGGAACUGCCCCGCCCUGGGGUCCCUGAGGACAAAAGGCCAAGUGAAGAAUCUCUGAGAAAGCAAUGGGUAGACGGCCCCUGCCCGUCCCACCAAGUGUGAACACCUGCCCACCCCAGGCCCUCCGACCUCUAAACUGCAGGGGGCUGAGGGCAGUGUGGGUCUCCAAGGAGAAGAAAUCAAGGGAACCGUUGAGCCGUGCAGCCACAAUCCUGGAAGAGAAGAACAGCUGCCAGGGGCCUCUCCCUUAGAGCCCCAGCCCUGGGGCUGAGCAUGUGGACAUGAGAGUUAAGGGCCAGUUCAAGAAGGCACAGGAGGGACAUGGCCAAGAGGAAAGCACAUGGUGCCAGAACAGAUGCUGGAGCCAGAGGGCAACUCCAAAUAUUAACCACCUUGUGCCUCAGUUUCUUCAUCCGUAAAAUGGGGAUAAGAGUACCCACCUCACAGGGUGGUCAUGAGAAUCAAGUGAGCUAACGUGUAAGGUGGUACCUGGUGAAUAUCACGUAAGUUUGUAAAUUAAAAACAAGCAGAGGGCUCCAUGUAGCCUGGAGCUGAAGGGAGGGCUGCUGAGGGGAAACAGGAUGCAGGGUGGGCUAUGUUGGGUGUUGCGGAAGCCUGCAUUCUCCACAUAAAAGCAGCUUCAACCC